This 194-nucleotide ribosomal RNA is filed under the name uncultured bacterium. RNAcentral describes it as "partial 16S ribosomal RNA". It matches the Rfam family "Bacterial small subunit ribosomal RNA", at positions 1312 to 1500 of the family's 1533-position model. The record is from RNAcentral.
UCGACUGCACGAAGCUGGAAUCGCUAGUAAAUCGCGGAUCAGCACGCCGCGGUGAAUACGUUCCCGGGCCUUGUACACACCGCCCGUCACACCAUGGAAGUCUGCAAUGCCCGAAGCCGGUGGCCUAACCACUUAUGUGGAAGGAGCCGUCUAAGGCAGGGCAGAUGACUGGGGUGAAGUCGUAACAAGGUAUC